CUCAAAGAUUAAGCCAUGCAAAUGUAAGUUUAACUUUUUAAAAGAGAAAACGGUGAUCGGCUCCAUAAAUCAAUUUUAAUUUAGAUGGGAUUGGAGGAUCGGCUGAGAAAAAGCUGAUCAACUAGAAGGAUAUUUAUGGUAAUUCUAUAAUUAAUACUUGAAAGACGAGGGAGCGGUGCUUCGGUGCCGCUCUUGGGAAUUGAAGAAAAAUCGGGGCGUUUCGGCGCAACGGUUCUGUUGAAUCAUUCAAUUCAUGUAGCUUGUGAGGCUUGCUUGAAAUAUUGAGCAGCCCGACCCAUUCAAGAUUUUGAUUUAUUAGGUUUAGUUGAGAGUGUAUUGGACUCUCAAGCCAAUAAUGAAUACGAGAAAUUAGAGUUUGAUUUCGGAGAGACCGCCUUAAAAACGGCGAUCACUUCUAAGGAAGGCAGCAGGUGCGCAAAUUAUUCAAUCGGGACGGAUCCGGAGAUAGUGACAAAAAAUAAGAAAAACCGAGUGCUUUCAAAGCGCUGGUUUAUUCCAAUGAAUUUAAGGUAAAAAUAUACUUAUGAGUAACAAGUAAAGGGCAAGUCUGGUGCCAGCAGCCGCGGUAAUUCCAGCUUUAUGAGUGUAUGUCAAAGUUGUUGUAGUUAAAAAGCUCGUAGUUGAAAUUGGGAGUUGUGCAGGCAACUGCAGCGGUGGCGUGUUUGGCGUGGCGUUUGGUCGCAAGACUGGCGCGGCGCUCGCGUCACCAACAGCUCUUUUAAGUGGAGCGUCGAGUCGCCUCUUGUGCGGCGCGGUGUUCCGGUUUAUUUUGAAAAAAUUGGACCGAUCAAAAGAGGAUUUUGAUUCAAAUCAAAACUUUUUUUAAUCUUUUAAACAUUUUAGCAUGAGAUAAUGGAAGAAGACAGUUGGUGCGGCGGCGAGCGAUCGUCGGCGCAAAAAUGCAAUUGUAAUGAUGAAUAGGGAUAAUUUGGGAUAUAUAUAUUAAGAAGUUAGAGGUGAAAUUCUUGGAUUUUCUUAAGAUAAACAUAUGCGAAAGCAUUUAUCAAGGAUAUUUUCGUUGACCAAGAACUAAAGAAUGAGGAUCGAAGAUGAUUAGAUACCGUUGUAGUUCAUUCUGUAAACAAUAAGAAGAAAAGAUAUGUGAACGAGGGGAAGUCGGCGGCGUGCUUCGCGCAGCGGUCGAUGAAACGUCUUCAUGUGAAUUUUGUUGAGAAAUCAUUACUUUUUGCUUUCUAGGGGGAGUAUGAUCGCAAGUUUGGAACUUAAAGGAAUUGACGGAAGGCCACCACAAAACGUGGAUGCUGCGGCUUAAUUUGACUCAACCCGGAGAAUCCUACCAGAGUAAGAUUUUAGAAUGAUAGACAGAUUAAAAGUUCUUUCUUGAUUUGAAAGAAGGUGGUGCAUGGCCGCUCUUGGUUCGUGGUGUGAACUGUCUGCUUAAUUGCGUUAACGAACGAGAUCAAAACAUGAUAAAUAGAGAUUGCGACGCGAGCUGGAGUUGCUCGACGGCGUGUGUGGGCAAGCGUGUAACAGCGUUUGUUGCGCUGCGCUAGUGACGGCGGAUUGCUGCCGGGAUUCCAACUGCACUACUUGAUCGUUUGCAGUUUGCCUGAACAGCUAAUUUAUCCUUUCGCGUCGUAGCCAAUCAACAUCUCUUCUUAUAUGAACUAUAUAUUUUCAAUUAUAUGGAAGUUUUUGGCGAUAGCAGGUCUGUACGCCCUUAGAUAUUCUGGUCCGCACGCGGCAUACAAUUGAAAAAGAAAUAAGUUGUUUGACAGCGUGGCGCGUUUCGGCGCGGCUCGCUUCUGUUGGCUUGAAAUUGAGCUGACUAAUCUUACAAAAUCUUUUCAAUAACUGGGAUAGAAGGUUGCAAUUGUCCUUCUUGAACAAGGAAUGUUUAGUAAACGCGCUUCACCAAAGCGCAUUGACUACGUCACUGGCCUUUGUACACACCGCCCGUCGCUUCUACCGAUUGAUAACAAAGGUGAAGAAUUGGGAGCUGCGUCCGACUUGUCGCGAUGCGGUAAACUUUCCUUAAUCUUUUUUAUUAGAGGAAGAAGAAGUCGUAACAAGGUAUCUGUAGGUGAACCUGCAGAAGGAUCA
This 2085-nucleotide ribosomal RNA is filed under the name Squamamoeba japonica. RNAcentral describes it as "partial 18S ribosomal RNA". It matches the Rfam family "Eukaryotic small subunit ribosomal RNA". Lineage: Eukaryota; Evosea. The record is from RNAcentral.